AAGACCUUGCGUUAUUCGAGCGGCCGACGUCUGAUUAGCUAGUUGGUGGGGUAAAGGCCUACCAAGGCGACGAUCAGUAGCGGGUCUGAGAGGAUGAUCCGCCACACUGGAACUGAGACACGGUCCAGACUCCUACGGGAGGCAGCAGUGGGGAAUUUUGGACAAUGGGGGCAACCCUGAUCCAGCCAUUCCGCGUGAGUGAAGAAGGCCUUCGGGUUGUAAAGCUCUUUCAGCCGGAACGAAACGGUUACGGUUAAUACCCGUGACUACUGACGGUACCGGAAGAAGAAGCACCGGCUAACUACGUGCCAGCAGCCGCGGUAAUACGUAGGGUGCAAGCGUUAAUCGGAAUUACUGGGCGUAAAGCGUGCGCAGGUGGUUUUGUAAGUCAGAUGUGAAAUCCCCGGGCUUAACCUGGGAACU
Molecule: ribosomal RNA, 423 nt
Filed under: uncultured bacterium
Lineage: Bacteria
Description: bacterial SSU rRNA
Rfam family: Bacterial small subunit ribosomal RNA
Source: RNAcentral